Non-coding RNA from Trichonephila clavipes, 73 nucleotides. The record is from the annotation of a GenBank genome assembly. Lineage: Eukaryota; Metazoa; Arthropoda; Arachnida; Araneae; Nephilidae.
GUCUCUGUGGCGCAAUGGACAGCACGUUGGACUUCAAAUCCCAUAGUCGUGGGUUCGAAUCCCACCUGGGAUG